UACGGAGGGCGCGAGCGUUAAUCGGAAUUACUGGGCGUAAAGCGCGCGUAGGCUGUUGUGUAAGUUGGGGGUGAAAUCCCACGGCUCAACCGUGGAACAACCCUUGAUACUGCGCGACUUGAAUCCGGGAGAGGGUGGCGGAAUUCCAGGUGUAGGAGUGAAAUCCGUAGAUAUCUGGAGGAACAUCAGUGGCGAAGGCGGCCACCUGGACCGGUAUUGACGCUGAGGCGCGAAAGCGUGGGGAGCAAACAGG
RNAcentral lists this ribosomal RNA (253 nucleotides) under uncultured bacterium. RNAcentral's name for it is "partial 16S ribosomal RNA". It matches the Rfam family "Bacterial small subunit ribosomal RNA", at positions 524 to 776 of the family's 1533-position model. The record is from RNAcentral.